This is a long non-coding RNA of Etheostoma cragini (Arkansas darter), 226 nucleotides long. RefSeq lists it as uncharacterized. The record is from RefSeq and is a predicted model, not a curated record. NCBI's taxonomy places the organism in Eukaryota, Metazoa, Chordata, Actinopteri, Perciformes, Percidae. The transcript is spliced from 5 exons.
ACAGUAUGGUAUUACAAUCGUCUCAGGUGAACUGAUACACAGUCACACUUUACACUGUUUAGCUGCCAGCAUUUUAACCCUGUUUAAUCCAGCUACUAGCUAACGAUAGGCUAACGUUAGCCGCUGCCAAGUGUAGUGUUAACUAGCGUCACGUGCAGAGAUGUGUCCGUUGCAGGUAAUGUUUUGGAGCAUCAGAGAGAAGAACAGGCAUUAAAGUAGUACUGAA